RNAcentral lists this ribosomal RNA (449 nucleotides) under uncultured bacterium. RNAcentral's name for it is "partial 16S ribosomal RNA". It matches the Rfam family "Bacterial small subunit ribosomal RNA", at positions 29 to 523 of the family's 1533-position model. The record is from RNAcentral.
AGCGAACGCUGGCGGCAGGCCUAACACAUGCAAGUCGAACGAAGUCUUCGGACUUAGUGGCGGACGGGUGAGUAACACGUGGGAACGUGCCUUUAGGUUCGGAAUAACUCAGGGAAACUUGUGCUAAUACCGAAUGUGCCCUUUGGGGGAAAGAUUUAUCGCCUUUAGAGCGGCCCGCGUCUGAUUAGCUAGUUGGUGAGGUAAAGGCUCACCAAGGCGACGAUCAGUAGCUGGUCUGAGAGGAUGAUCAGCCACAUUGGGACAGAGACACGGCCCAAACUCCUACGGGAGGCAGCAGUGGGGAAUCUUGCGCAAUGGGCGAAAGCCUGACGCAGCCAUGCCGCGUGAAUGAUGAAGGUCUUAGGAUUGUAAAAUUCUUUCACCGGGGACGAUAAUGACGGUACCCGGAGAAGAAGCCCCGGCUAACUUCGUGCCAGCAGCCGCCGUAA